RNAcentral lists this long non-coding RNA (659 nucleotides) under Capsicum annuum. RNAcentral describes it as "long non-coding RNA (CANN_LNC017075)". The record is from RNAcentral. Lineage: Eukaryota; Viridiplantae; Streptophyta; Magnoliopsida; Solanales; Solanaceae.
GGCAGGACCCAACCUAAACGGAAAAGCAUUUUUAAAGUUGAUUUUUACUAUUGCUAAAAAAACUAAUUUAAAAUUUAUUUAUACUAUAGCUAAACAAAAUCUUGUCGUACACACAAAUUUCUUAGGACAUACAUUAUUUUAUCACAAAAGCGAAACAAAGGGAAAAGAAGAUGGAUGUACCAUUUACGGGACAUUAAAUGGGGGCUUGCGGUCAUGGAUCUACACUCAAACCAUAAGUGAAAGAGAAAAAAUAGAGCAAUGUAAGGAGUGAACAAGCAGUAACUUUUGGGUGAUGUUUCUGCAAGUAAGAGUGGCGGAAAAAAGCUUGUUCGCAGUUGCAAGAACAAAGAGACGAGAGAACAACCAAUGCUAUGUCUUCCUUACUUUUUUAUUUUCAAGAGGCUUCCAAACAUGGUUAUUUAUAGCAGAUCUGCUGGGGUUAAUCCUUUGAACGGGAAUUGGGCUCCUCAAAUUUUAACAUUGAAAUUCAAAUAUUGGAAUUUGUCUCUACUCAAUCUUCACGUGAUUGAAAGUAUUCAUCACAAAAAUGGAGUAGCAACCUCUUCCACCAUAGUGAAAGAUUGAAAUUUUGCUUGAGAGAGGUAAAGGUACGUUGAACAAGAGAGAAGAACGAGAGGAGGAAGCGACCCUUUUGGGAG